UUUUGAGUAAAAUAUGUCCUAUGAAAUAUUUUAGACAUGCUUAUGCUAAAA
Molecule: microRNA precursor, 51 nt
Filed under: Marmota monax (woodchuck)
Lineage: Eukaryota; Metazoa; Chordata; Mammalia; Rodentia; Sciuridae
Source: RNAcentral